AUAGCUUAGGUUAAAAAAACCUUUGAUUUGUGGUAUCAAGAAUAUUAUGUAGAUAGCUUUCA
Molecule: transfer RNA, 62 nt
Filed under: Aglaiogyrodactylus forficulatus
Lineage: Eukaryota; Metazoa; Platyhelminthes; Monogenea; Gyrodactylidea; Oogyrodactylidae
Description: tRNA-His
Source: RNAcentral